AUCCAGUGCAAGGAAAGGGUUCUAAGAAUUGAGCUUGAGUCACCAAUGUCAUCCUUAGGAGCUGCAGAGCCACUAAUGCACCGUAUGGUGAAGUAUUUGGCUCUUGCGUCCAACAUGAAAAACAAAGAUGGAAAAUCAAGUUCAACUGGGAACUCAUAUGUUCAACUAAUUAUUUUGAAAUUGCUGGUCACUUGGAUGGCUGACUGCUCCACUGCAGUUCAGUGCUUCCUGGAUUCACGUCCCCAUCUAACAUAUCUCCUUGAAUUGGUGUCAAAUCCAU
RNAcentral lists this unclassified non-coding RNA (280 nucleotides) under Hevea brasiliensis (rubber tree). Lineage: Eukaryota; Viridiplantae; Streptophyta; Magnoliopsida; Malpighiales; Euphorbiaceae. The record is from RNAcentral.